Molecule: ribosomal RNA, 1758 nt
Filed under: Salmonella enterica
Lineage: Bacteria; Pseudomonadati; Pseudomonadota; Gammaproteobacteria; Enterobacterales; Enterobacteriaceae
Description: partial 23S ribosomal RNA
Rfam family: Bacterial large subunit ribosomal RNA
Source: RNAcentral
GUGGUAUCCUGUCUGAAUAUGGGGGGACCAUCCUCCAAGGCUAAAUACUCCUGACUGACCGAUAGUGAACCAGUACCGUGAGGGAAAGGCGAAAAGAACCCCGGCGAGGGGAGUGAAAAAGAACCUGAAACCGUGUACGUACAAGCAGUGGGAGCACCCUUUGGGGUGUGACUGCGUACCUUUUGUAUAAUGGGUCAGCGACUUAUAUUCUGUAGCAAGGUUAACCGAAUAGGGGAGCCGGAGGGAAACCGAGUCUUAAUUGGGCGUUAAGUUGCAGGGUAUAGACCCGAAACCCGGUGAUCUAGCCAUGGGCAGGUUGAAGGUUGGGUAACACUAACUGGAGGACCGAACCGACUAAUGUUGAAAAAUUAGCGGAUGACCUGUGGCUGGGGGUGAAAGGCCAAUCAAACCGGGAGAUAGCUGGUUCUCCCCGAAAGCUAUUUAGGUAGCGCCUCGUGAAUUCAUCUCCGGGGGUAGAGCACUGUUUCGGCUAGGGGGCCAUCCCGGCUUACCAACCCGAUGCAAACUGCGAAUACCGGAGAAUGUUAUCACGGGAGACACACGGCGGGUGCUAACGUCCGUCGUGAAGAGGGAAACAACCCAGACCGCCAGCUAAGGUCCCAAAGUCAUGGUUAAGUGGGAAACGAUGUGGGAAGGCCCAGACAGCCAGGAUGUUGGCUUAGAAGCAGCCAUCAUUUAAAGAAAGCGUAAUAGCUCACUGGUCGAGUCGGCCUGCGCGGAAGAUGUAACGGGGCUAAACCAUGCACCGAAGCUGCGGCAGCGACACUCAGGUGUUGUUGGGUAGGGGAGCGUUCUGUAAGCCUGCGAAGGUGGCCUGUGAGGGUUGCUGGAGGUAUCAGAAGUGCGAAUGCUGACAUAAGUAACGAUAAAGCGGGUGAAAAGCCCGCUCGCCGGAAGACCAAGGGUUCCUGUCCAACGUUAAUCGGGGCAGGGUGAGUCGACCCCUAAGGCGAGGCCGAAAGGCGUAGUCGAUGGGAAACGGGUUAAUAUUCCCGUACUUGGUGUUACUGCGAAGGGGGGACGGAGAAGGCUAUGUUGGCCGGGCGACGGUUGUCCCGGUUUAAGCGUGUAGGUGUGUGUUCCAGGUAAAUCCGGUUCACUUUAACACUGAGGCGUGAUGACGAGGCACUACGGUGCUGAAGCAACAAAUGCCCUGCUUCCAGGAAAAGCCUCUAAGCAUCAGGUAACAUCAAAUCGUACCCCAAACCGACACAGGUGGUCAGGUAGAGAAUACCAAGGCGCUUGAGAGAACUCGGGUGAAGGAACUAGGCAAAAUGGUGCCGUAACUUCGGGAGAAGGCACGCUGACACGUAGGUGAAGUGAUUUACUCAUGGAGCUGAAGUCAGUCGAAGAUACCAGCUGGCUGCAACUGUUUAUUAAAAACACAGCACUGUGCAAACACGAAAGUGGACGUAUACGGUGUGACGCCUGCCCGGUGCCGGAAGGUUAAUUGAUGGGGUCAGCGCAAGCGAAGCUCCUGAUCGAAGCCCCGGUAAACGGCGGCCGUAACUAUAACGGUCCUAAGGUAGCGAAAUUCCUUGUCGGGUAAGUUCCGACCUGCACGAAUGGCGUAAUGAUGGCCAGGCUGUCUCCACCCGAGACUCAGUGAAAUUGAACUCGCUGUGAAGAUGCAGUGUACCCGCGGCAAGACGGAAAGACCCCGUGAACCUUUACUAUAGCUUGACACUGAACAUUGAGCCUUGAUGUGUAGGAUAGGUGGGAGGCUUUGAAGUGUGG